GACGUAGGGGACGAGCGUUGUCCGGAUUUAUUGGGCGUAAAGAGCGCGUAGGCGGCUUGGUAAGUCGGAUGUGAAAUCCCGGGGCUCAACCCCGUGACUGCACCCGAAACUGCCCGGCUAGAGGUAGGUAGGGGAGAUCGGAAUUCCUGGUGUAGCGGUGAAAUGCGUAGAUAUCGGGAGGAACACCUGUGGCGAAGGCGGCACUCUGGGCCGGUACUGACGCUGAGGAGCGAAAGCGUGGGGAGCAAACAGG
Molecule: ribosomal RNA, 253 nt
Filed under: uncultured bacterium
Lineage: Bacteria
Description: partial 16S ribosomal RNA
Rfam family: Bacterial small subunit ribosomal RNA
Source: RNAcentral